GCUCGGGUGGCGAAACCGGUAGACGCAAGGGACUUAAAAUCCCUCGGGGGCAACCCCAUGUGGGUUCGAAUCCCACCCCGAGCA
RNAcentral lists this transfer RNA (84 nucleotides) under Gemmatimonadota bacterium. RNAcentral describes it as "Gemmatimonadetes bacterium (bioreactor metagenome) tRNA-Leu". It matches the Rfam family "tRNA". From Rfam's summary of the family: Transfer RNA (tRNA) molecules are approximately 80 nucleotides in length. Their secondary structure includes four short double-helical elements and three loops (D, anti-codon, and T loops). RNAcentral also lists the same sequence under 1 other name. Lineage: Bacteria; Pseudomonadati; Gemmatimonadota. The record is from RNAcentral.